AUGGACGCAGGGAGAGGUUUUUCUUCCCAGAUCCAACCAACUUCUUCAACUAGAUCAGCAUUUUUCAUGGUUUAUGACUGGAUUAUAGCAGGAAAUAGGCUUUUUGGAUCUACAUUUUGUAACAUUACUGGCUGUGCUUUUGCAUUUGAGCUUCCUUGGAGAUUUUUAAAUUCCUAUUACUUGCUGCGAAUAGUUCAUGUACUAUUUUUUUUAAUAUUUGGUAUGCCUAAACUUCUCUUUAUAGACUCAAUCUUCUUGAACUUUAUGCUAUUUCUUAUUUGA
Non-coding RNA from Vicia faba (fava bean), 282 nucleotides. The record is from the annotation of a GenBank genome assembly. NCBI's taxonomy places the organism in Eukaryota, Viridiplantae, Streptophyta, Magnoliopsida, Fabales, Fabaceae.